AGUGAACGCUGGCGGUAGGCCUAACACAUGCAAGUCGAACGGCAGCACAGUAAGAGCUUGCUCUUACGGGUGGCGAGUGGCGGACGGGUGAGGAAUACAUCGGAAUCUACUUUUUCGUGGGGGAUAACGUAGGGAAACUUACGCUAAUACCGCAUACGACCUACGGGUGAAAGCAGGGGAUCUUCGGACCUUGCGCGAUUGAAUGAGCCGAUGUCGGAUUAGCUAGUUGGCGGGGUAAAGGCCCACCAAGGCGACGAUCCGUAGCUGGUCUGAGAGGAUGAUCAGCCACACUGGAACUGAGACACGGUCCAGACUCCUACGGGAGGCAGCAGUGGGGAAUAUUGGACGAUGGGCGCAAGCCUGAUCCAGCCAUACCGCGUGGGUGAAGAAGGCCUUCGGGUUGUAAAGCCCUUUUGUUGGGAAAGAAAAGCAGCAGGUUAAUACCCCGCUGUUCUGACGGUACCCGAAGAAUAAGCACCGGCUAACUUCGUG
Molecule: ribosomal RNA, 492 nt
Filed under: uncultured bacterium
Lineage: Bacteria
Description: partial 16S ribosomal RNA
Rfam family: Bacterial small subunit ribosomal RNA
Source: RNAcentral